Molecule: transfer RNA, 74 nt
Filed under: Datura stramonium (jimsonweed)
Lineage: Eukaryota; Viridiplantae; Streptophyta; Magnoliopsida; Solanales; Solanaceae
Description: tRNA-Pro
Rfam family: tRNA
About the family: Transfer RNA (tRNA) molecules are approximately 80 nucleotides in length.
Source: RNAcentral
AGGGAUGUGGCGCAGCUUGGUAGCUCAUUUGUUUUGGGUACAAAAUGUCACGGGUUCUAAUCUUGUCAUCCCUA